Molecule: long non-coding RNA, 876 nt
Filed under: Chinchilla lanigera (long-tailed chinchilla)
Lineage: Eukaryota; Metazoa; Chordata; Mammalia; Rodentia; Chinchillidae
Description: lncRNA (ENSCLAG00000025194.1)
Source: RNAcentral
GGAACUUUGGUGAGACUCUUGUUUAUGAACACACCGAGACUAAUGAGUGUGUCCACAAUUGUAAAAGACUACUGUAAAUUUCUUUGUAGAUUAAACUCUGUGACCUUUGGAGUUACUGGGCCAUCAGAAGGAUUUGACAACUGCAUGACUGAAUCAAUGACUAAAUAUAAGUCAGUGAUUUCAGGCAACACAAAGAUCAUUUUUGAUAAAGAAGUUUGAUUAAACUUUCUUCUGCCGGAUGAUGUCUGUAUUAUGUUUCAACAAAGUGAGCUUGCAGAUUUUUCCUCUGCUGUGACAUAAUACACACAUCAUUAUUUGAAGCAUACUCCAUUAUGAUCCAAUUUUUCUAAUGCUUUUUUUUGCUCUUUUUAAUUUUUAUUUUCAGGAGAAAGGAACAAAAACAAAAUAACAAAAACAAAGUCUAAUGCAUAUUUUAUGGCUUCCUGGGUACCACAGAAAAUGCUACCACAUGCAAACAGUUCUCCUAACUUCAGCUGGCUUUCUGAGAAGUGCUUACUACUGCUGGAGCCCACAAUGUAGUCUGGAAAUUGUAAAGGAGAUAAGCUGCCUAACUUGGGAAGUCUCAACCCAGUCCAGUAGCCAUGCCACGUACUUACUGAGAAAUAGAAAAAUUCAAAGGAGUAGGAACCUAGGCACAGAUUGGUUGCCCUCUGGCAGUAAAAAGCUCCAAGCAGCUGAUACUAUUUCCCUCCCACAUUCUUUGGCCUGCUUACAGCUGGAAAGGUAGGCACCAUGCCAGCUACACCAGAUUUCCAACAUAUAUCGACCUUUCCUACUGAGUUCUAGACACUGAAAUUAUUCUCACAUCUCAUGGUUCGAUAUGUGAAAGUAGUUAAAGUCAGAGAAGUCUAAAAU